This 388-nucleotide long non-coding RNA is filed under the name Penaeus japonicus. RNAcentral describes it as "uncharacterized LOC122255336". Lineage: Eukaryota; Metazoa; Arthropoda; Malacostraca; Decapoda; Penaeidae. The record is from RNAcentral.
AGGGUGGAGAUUGUCGCCCUUAACUUCCUCCUUUCAGGUCUUUGGGAACAUGUAUACUGCAGUAACAGAAGACUGACAGAAGGACUGGAUAGGAAAGCCAAGUUAUCCAAACCAUCAUGAAGGAAAGAAAAUAAACUCUGAGAUUAACAGUCACUUUACAAAAGUCUCAACAGCCAGUGUCGGAGACUUUGGACAGAAAUUCAUGAAGAAAAGUUACAAACUGAUUUCAAACACGUGACGAGGAGAUCGCAUGACUGCAGAUGCCUGAGUGAUCGCCGAGAUUCUUCCACUCAUCGUUCAAGACCCGGAUGAUGCAGCUAAAACCUCGUUGAAAGAAUGCAAUCCUGCAGUAUUGCAUCAGACGGACAAUGGAUCUAUUCUUGAAUAA